CAUUCUUAUGUGAAUGACUAUUAUACUUACAGUUAGUACUGCUUAAUUUAGUACUUAAUUAUUUAAGCACAAAAGUAAUUUCGCACUACCUUAUAUCAUUCUUUGCUAUUUCAGUGUGUACUUUAGGUUUUGUCUUCCCAGCUAUAUUUUGAACUUCAGGAAGACGUCUUGGUAUUUUCUCCACAAUUCCUAGCAGAGUCUCACAUAUAGUAGGCACUUAUUUAUUUAUUGAAUGAAUGAAAAUAGGUGUAAAGUAGAAACUAAACUGCUUUAAACAAUGAAAUAUUUCCUUUUUUCUCUGCAGUUUGGAGGAGCUCUUCCUGUGCCUUAAUGACUAUGAAACAGUGUCUUGUCCUUCUAUUUGCUGUCAUUCUCUUAAGCUACUACAUAUAACAGACAAUAACCUCCAAGACUGGACUGAAAUACGAAAGUUAGGAGUUAUGUUUCCUUCACUGGAUACCCUCGUCCUGGCCAACAAUCAUUUGAAUGCUAUUGAGGAGCCUGAUGAUUCACUGGCCAGGUUGUUUCCUAAUCUUCGAUCCAUCAGCCUCCACAAGUCAGGUUUGCAGUCCUGGGAAGACAUUGAUAAACUAAAUUCAUUUCCCAAACUGGAAGAAGUGAGAUUGUUAGGAAUUCCUCUUCUGCAGCCAUAUACCACCGAGGAGCGAAGGAAAUUGGUAAUAGCCAGAUUGCCAUCAGUUUCCAAACUUAAUGGCAGCGUUGUUACUGAUGGUGAACGAGAAGAUUCUGAGAGAUUUUUUAUUCGUUACUAUGUGGGUGUUCCACAGGAAGAAGUGCCAUUCAGGUAUCAUGAACUGAUCACAAAAUAUGGGAAGUUGGAGCCUUUGGCAGAAGUGGACCUAAGACCCCAGAGCAGUGCAAAAGUAGAAGUCCACUUUAACGAUCAGGUGGAAGAAAUGAGCAUUCGUCUGGACCAAACAGUUGCAGAGCUAAAGAAACAGUUAAAAACUCUAGUACAAUUACCCACAAGCAACAUGCUUCUCUACUAUUUUGACCAUGAAGCACCCUUUGGCCCAGAGGAAAUGAAGUACAGCUCUCGGGCAUUGCAUUCCUUUGGCAUUAGGGAUGGAGAUAAAAUUUACGUGGAAUCCAAAACAAAAUAACCUCUACCAGCCUUGUGAAAACAUACACAUAAGGACUUGUUGCAGGGCAUUUGUUUUUAAUGUGGUUUUCUUUAGGAGGGAGAAGG
This 1210-nucleotide small RNA is filed under the name Pongo abelii (Sumatran orangutan). RNAcentral's name for it is "retained intron". The record is from RNAcentral. Lineage: Eukaryota; Metazoa; Chordata; Mammalia; Primates; Hominidae.